Molecule: signal recognition particle RNA, 97 nt
Filed under: Ventosimonas gracilis
Lineage: Bacteria; Pseudomonadati; Pseudomonadota; Gammaproteobacteria; Pseudomonadales; Ventosimonadaceae
Description: Bacterial small signal recognition particle RNA
Rfam family: Bacterial small signal recognition particle RNA
About the family: The signal recognition particle (SRP) is a universally conserved ribonucleoprotein involved in the co-translational targeting of proteins to membranes. Archaeal SRP consists of a 7S RNA and homologues of the eukaryotic SRP19 and SRP54 proteins. In most bacteria, the SRP consists of a 4.5S RNA and the Ffh protein (a homologue of the eukaryotic SRP54 protein).
Source: Rfam by way of RNAcentral
UAUUUGUCCCCUCGCAAAAAUCAGCCGUGAACCCGGUCAGGCCCGGAAGGGAGCAGCCGCAGCGGUGACAUUUUGUGCCGAGGUCAGGCGGGUAAAG